AGAGUUUGAUCCUGGCUCAGAACGAACGCUGGCGGCGCGUCUUAAGCAUGCAAGUCGAAUGGCAAGAAAAGAGCUUGCUCUUUUCCUAGAAUGGCGGACUGGUGAGUAACGCUUGGGUGACGUACCCUUUGGAUGGGGAUAGCUGUUAGAAAUAGCAGAUAAUACCGAAUAAGCUCCCUUUUGUUAGAGGAGAGGGAGGAAAGGAACUUUAGUUCCGCCGAAGGAACGGCCCGAGUACUAUUAGCUAGUUGGUGAGGUAACGGCCCACCAAGGCGACGAUAGUUACCCGGCCUAAGAGGGUGAUCGGGCACAUUGGGACUGAGAUACGGCCCAGACUCCUACGGGAGGCAGCAGCUAAGAAUAUUCCGCAAUGGACGAAAGUCUGACGGAGCGACGCCGCGUGGAUGAUGAAGGCCGGAAGGUUGUAAAAUCCUUUUAUGACUGAGGAAUAAGGAGAGUGAGAGAAACGCUUUCCGGUGACUGUAGGUCAUGAAUAAGCAACGGCUAAUUACGUGCCAGCAGCCGCGGUAACACGUAAGUUGCGAGCGUUGUUCGGAAUUAUUGGGCGUAAAGGGCAUGUAGGCGGUUUUGCAAGCUUGGUGUGAAAGGCAGGAGCUUAACUCCUGGACUGCGUUGAGAACUGCAAGACUUGAGUCACUGAGGGGCAAUCAGAAUUCCUGGUGUAGGGGUGAAAUCUGUAGAUAUCAGGAAGAAUACCAAUGGCGAAGGCAGGUUACCAGCAGAUGACUGACGCUGAGGUGCGAAGGUGCGGGGAGCAAACAGGAUUAGAUACCCUAGUAGUCCGCACAGUCAACGAUGUACACUGGAUGUCUGCACAGAAGUGUGGGUGUCGAAGCAAACGCGAUAAGUGUACCGCCUGGGGAGUAUGCCCGCAAGGGUGAAACUCAAAGGAAUUGACGGGGGCCCGCACAAGCAGUGGAUUAUGUGGUUUAAUUCGAAGCAACGCGAAGAACCUUACCAGGAUUUGACAUCCAACUAACGAAGUAGAGAUACAUUAGGUGCCCUUCGGGGAAAGUUGAGACAGGUGGUGCAUGGUUGUCGUCAGCUCGUGUCGUGAGAUGUUGGGUUAAGUCCCGCAACGAGCGCAACCCCUAUUGUCAGUUGCUAACAGGAGAGCUGAGCACUCUGGCGAGACUGCCGCCGACAAGGCGGAGGAAGGUGGGGACGACGUCAAAUCAUCAUGGCCUUUAUGUCCAGGGCGACACACGUGCUACAAUGGCCGGCACAGACGGAAGCGACUUUGCGAAAAGGAGCGGAUCCUCGAAAGCCGGUCCCAGUUCGGACUGCAGUCUGCAACUCGACUGCACGAAGUCGGAAUCGCUAGUAAUCGCAGAUCAGCCAAGCUGCGGUGAAUACGUUCCCGGGCCUUGUACACACCGCCCGUCA
RNAcentral lists this ribosomal RNA (1407 nucleotides) under uncultured bacterium. Its description in RNAcentral is "bacterial SSU rRNA". It matches the Rfam family "Bacterial small subunit ribosomal RNA". The record is from RNAcentral.